AGAGAUUUAGGUUAAAAAAACUAAUAGCCUUCAAAGCUUUAAAUGAUCAAAAAUCAAUCUUUA
RNAcentral lists this transfer RNA (63 nucleotides) under Lamprotula coreana. RNAcentral describes it as "tRNA-Trp". The record is from RNAcentral. Lineage: Eukaryota; Metazoa; Mollusca; Bivalvia; Unionida; Unionidae.